This is an RNA transcript of Rhinopithecus roxellana (golden snub-nosed monkey), 5221 nucleotides long. It is a transcript of the gene named leucine rich repeat containing 4, with no coding region annotated. NCBI's taxonomy places the organism in Eukaryota, Metazoa, Chordata, Mammalia, Primates, Cercopithecidae. The transcript has 4 exons. The record is from RefSeq and is a predicted model, not a curated record.
UCAACUCCGCGGCUUCGCCGGCUCAGGCUCCGGAUUUACUAGAAGCCAUUUUGUCUCCCCCACCCCUUCCCUCCCCUCCCCUCCCCUCUGCCCUCCCCGCCCCCACCACUUCCCCCUUUUGUUAAUUAAAACUAAGAAGUCGGAAUGGGAACGAGGUGCCCAGCUCCCGUGGAGAAAGCUUAAGGACACCACACCAGUGUUUUCCUGCCUUCCUUCCGAGAUGGAAAGAGGAGCUCCUAGCUCACUUAAGCCGGGGUAGGGCUGGUUCUCCUUUCCGAGCCAAAAUCCCAGGCGAUGGUGAAUUAUGAACGUGCCACACCAUGAAGCUCUUGUGGCAGGUAACUGUGCACCACCACACCUGGAAUGCCAUCCUGCUCCCAGUCGUCUACCUCACGGCGCAAGUGUGGAUUCUGUGUGCAGCCAUCGCUGCUGCCGCCUCAGCCGGGCCCCAGAACUGCCCCUCUGUCUGCUCGUGCAGUAACCAGUUCAGCAAGGUGGUGUGCACCCGCCGGGGCCUCUCCGAGGUCCCGCAGGGUAUUCCCUCUAACACCCGGUACCUCAACCUAAUGGAGAACAACAUCCAGAUGAUCCAGGCCGACACCUUCCGCCACCUCCACCACCUGGAGGUCCUGCAGUUGGGCAGGAACUCCAUCCGGCAGAUUGAGGUGGGGGCCUUCAAUGGCCUGGCCAGCCUCAACACCCUGGAGCUGUUUGACAACUGGCUGACAGUCAUCCCUAGCGGGGCCUUUGAAUACCUGUCCAAGCUGCGGGAGCUCUGGCUUCGCAACAACCCCAUCGAAAGCAUCCCCUCUUACGCCUUCAACCGGGUGCCCUCCCUCAUGCGCCUGGACUUGGGGGAGCUCAAGAAGCUGGAGUAUAUCUCUGAGGGAGCUUUUGAGGGGCUGUUCAACCUCAAAUACCUGAACUUGGGCAUGUGCAACAUUAAAGACAUGCCCAAUCUCACCCCCCUGGUGGGGCUGGAGGAGCUGGAGAUGUCAGGGAACCACUUCCCUGAGAUCAGGCCUGGCUCCUUCCAUGGCCUGAGCUCCCUCAAGAAGCUCUGGGUCAUGAACUCACAGGUCAGCCUGAUUGAGCGGAAUGCUUUUGACGGGCUGGCUUCACUUGUGGAACUCAACUUGGCCCACAAUAACCUCUCUUCUUUGCCCCAUGACCUCUUUACCCCGCUGAGGUACCUGGUGGAGUUGCACCUACACCACAAUCCUUGGAACUGUGAUUGUGACAUUCUGUGGCUAGCCUGGUGGCUUCGAGAGUAUAUACCCACCAAUUCCACCUGCUGUGGCCGCUGUCAUGCUCCCAUGCACAUGCGAGGCCGCUACCUCGUGGAGGUGGACCAGGCCUCUUUCCAGUGCUCUGCCCCCUUCAUCAUGGAUGCACCUCGAGACCUCAAUAUUUCUGAGGGUCGGAUGGCAGAACUUAAGUGUCGGACUCCCCCUAUGUCCUCCGUGAAGUGGUUGCUGCCCAAUGGGACAGUGCUCAGCCACGCCUCCCGCCACCCACGGAUCUCUGUCCUCAACGACGGCACCUUGAACUUUUCCCACGUGCUGCUUUCAGACACUGGGGUAUACACAUGCAUGGUGACCAAUGUGGCAGGAAACUCCAACGCCUCGGCCUACCUAAAUGUGAGCACGGCCGAGCUCAACACCUCCAACUACAGCUUCUUCACCACAGUAACAGUGGAGACCACAGAGAUCUCGCCUGAGGACACAACGCGAAAGUACAAGCCUGUUCCUACCACGUCCACUGGUUACCAGCCGGCAUAUACCACCUCUACCACGGUGCUCAUUCAGACCACCCGUGUUCCCAAGCAGGUGGCAGUACCCGCGACAGACACCACUGACAAGAUGCAAACCAGUCUGGAUGAAGUCAUGAAGACCACCAAGAUCAUAAUUGGCUGCUUUGUGGCAGUGACUCUGCUAGCUGCCGCCAUGUUGAUUGUCUUCUAUAAACUUCGUAAGCGGCACCAGCAGCGGAGUACAGUCACAGCCGCCCGGACUGUUGAGAUUAUCCAGGUGGACGAAGACAUCCCAGCAGCAACAUCGGCAGCAGCAACAGCAGCUCCGUCCGGUGUAUCAGUGGGAGCUAAGAGAAGUGUGACAAAUCGGUCUUGGCUGGAAGUAUGUGACAGCUUCCCAAUGGCGCUUAUUCCGCCAAUAAGAGACCAGGCAUUAGCUGAAGGAGACAAAACUCAAGUGGAAACAAAAAACAGUUUGAAGGAUUAGUCAACGGUGUCUACUGCAUGCCCACUGUGUUCUCACUACUGCAUCAGACAUCACAGUGGCACAGGAGGCAUACAAGACCUGCCUUCUGUCCACAGGGGACACUGAAAAAUUCACCAGCUCACCUAGCAGACCUCCACUCUCCAUUUAACUAAUACUUGCCGAUGUCUACUCUGGGCCAAGAAGAUGAGGAUUGUUGUGGAAGAUGAGGAUUCAAUGAUGAAAACACUUUGUGCUCAUGAAGUUAACUACCAGCUAGGAAAAGAUUAUUUUCCUCUACUAUUGUAAAAGACCAGGUACUGAAGUUAAUUUGGAAUAGGAACAAGAAAACCAAGUCUUCACAAUGCAAUGGAAACUGCAGCUCUCUUUGAAGAAAGGAAGGGGAAGAGAAGCGAAGCAGGAAGUGUGAUGCUUGGCUGUUAAACAUGCCUUGAGUUUCUGAUACACGUCAUAAUAGUUGUUCGCCUGUUAAUGGUAGAUCCCUAUUCUACAGUCAUUUGAGGUAAGGGAUAUGCCAGUUCUCUCUACAUCCCUGGUAUUUGGCAAACAGGAGAUGCUCAAUAAUUCAGUUUGCUACAUGAAUGCCAGAGAGGAGAAAAUCUAGCAAAAACAGAUACACCAAACCUGUUACAACAACCUGCUUUUCCAAGAGUUCUGGAUGCGUAUGACUUAAUAUGUGGAGUAUUGAUGAGGAAUUCUAGUACUGCUUAUUCUCAGGACUUAAAGGUAAAUGUGUGUUAAAUGCUCAGUCACUGACCACAGUCAGUAGAAGAGGCAAGGAAGGGAUGACUUAGAGGCCUUAUACUGAAUAUCUUGCUCUCAGUCUAGCCGGGCAAGGUACAAAACCAGCUUCACCAAAUUUGAUUUAUUGUUAGUUUUAGACAACAGACAAUCUCUCCCAAAUGGGAAAAAAGCAUUUUUAGAUGGAGCUGGUACAGAAGAUAACAAUCAGGCCAGCAUGGGAAUAACCUUUUAUAAUUCUCCCCAUUGCAGAGCAAGAUCUGAAAACAAUGAUUUUUAAGGGGGAAAAAAAACCUCUCACUGAUUAACAAGGCCUUUCCUUUCCUGUGGCAUCCCAAGAGCAGGCCGUAAACCACCCUGCCAGGCUGUCUCUGGGGUGUGUUUGGGAAGGGGAUUGGAGAUAGCAGGCUAUCUGCUUCCCAAUGCCCAUGUUCAUUUUUGGGGAUUGCUAUAAGCAGCAGCUGCAGUAAUGUCACCAUCAGCUACUAGCAGAAAGAACAACUGGGCAUGGGAGAGAUCUGUGCCUUUCAAAUGUUUUUUUUUUUUUUUUUUUACCCCUGGACUUCUCUUUAUUAUCCAUACCAAAACAACCUCAUACCUUCAUUAACAAAGUCACAGAAAACAAAGUAUCUGAGGUCAAAAGCUAGAGCCGCAGUCUUCUGAAUGACAAGAAAGCUCCUAUAUGGCUCAAGCUUUUAUGUAACACAGUGGCACUGUGCAGACAGCAUCUAACAGGCACAAAUGCUAUGUCUGAGCAAGGAGGAGUUGGUUUCUAUAAGAACCUCAACUUUUAUUUCUUCUGACUUAUUUGAAAGCAAUAGGACUUUAUCUUUAAAUCAAAUAAAAUAUAUUUUCCCCCUUUUGAUUUUUGGCACCAAAGGUUUCCAUUCUUGGUCUUUUUAAUUCCAUGUUAAUGGAUAAAGAGAAAAAUUUGAAUCUACUGUCCAGGCUGCUAGAGAUUUGCUACAAGGUGAAGAGAAAGCCACAGGAAAUACCCCUAUGGAUCUUGCAAGUCUACGCUUCCAUAAGGUAUUCUGGCACACACCUGGCAGCCAAAUGUAAAAGCUACUUACUUGCAUAAAUUUAGAGUGACUUUUUCUAGACCAAGCUGUUUUAUUUGAACAAAAUGGUUCUGAGAUGUGUGGAGUGUACUUCUAAACUAUUGCCUUUUUUGAGCUUUCACUCAAAAUUGCUCUGAGCUCCUCCUCCUGAGGCAAGUGAAUUCCAAAUGUCUAGAGAUUAGUAUACUCAGCCUACAGUAGGAUGGGGAGGAAAAAACAGCUAGUGUCAGGAAUAUUAACACUUAAGAAAGAACCAAAGAAAAUGAAUAAAAAAAAAAAACCUCUGGGCUGAGAAACUCUUAGCAAGAGCCCUUCACCUCACUAACUUUACUUUAAAGAAAAAGGAAGGAAAAAAAAAAAAAAAAAAAGCAAGCAAAAGGGAAAGGAAUUGUGAAAAGUCAAGGUUCUCCAAGAGCACAGGCCAAGCUACAAACAUCCUGUCCAGAGUAGUUUGGAUCCUGGGCCAGCCGUGGGUCAAGAAUGGCAUUUGCCUUAUUUAUCUAUUUACUUUUUACCAAACGCUAUAGUUAUUUUUUUACCAUACCCAUAGUUACCAUACCCUAAAGCAGGGAACAGCAGACAACUUCCUGAAGACUAAGUCUGCCCACUGAUUUUGUAUAGCUCAUGAGCUAAGAAUGAUUUUUGUAUUUUUGAAUGGUUAAAAAAUCAAAAGAAGAAUAUUUGUGACAUGUUGUAGGAUAUAAUAAAUUUCUCUUCAAAGGUUUUAGCCUCUAAAUUGUUAAGUACAAUGAGUUCUGAGAUCCUCUCCAAAGAACCAAUGUAUCAGUAUGUUCAGCUCCCCUGUUCUUUGUUCUCCAUUUUAAAAUUUAACUUCCUCUUUCUUUACAUCUCCUUGUCCCUAGUUUCAGUAAACAACUCCCUCCUAGCCUCUAUCACCUGUUCUGACCUUAGUCAUCCUUGGUCACCUGCUCUGUUCUUAUUCAUCCAGAGUCACCUGUUCUGUAACUGCUCUUGCCACCAAACUACUCACCCCGUCACUCUGGCUCCUACCCCUACGCUCUUUAAAAUGGCCAGCCAGAAUUAGCUUAAGACUGUGCAGUCCAACCCUAGCCAAUAGGGGAAUAACACAGCAAUAGGGGCUACCUGCCCCUUCCCCUCUCUUCCUCAGGUGUCCUCUCGUCAUUGCUCCAUCUGUGCGUCGCACCCUUCUAUAGAAGUAAA